RNAcentral lists this ribosomal RNA (497 nucleotides) under uncultured bacterium. RNAcentral's name for it is "partial 16S ribosomal RNA". It matches the Rfam family "Bacterial small subunit ribosomal RNA", at positions 28 to 507 of the family's 1533-position model. The record is from RNAcentral.
GAUGAACGCUGGCGGCGUGCCUAAUACAUGCAAGUCGAGCGAACGGACGAGAAGCUUGCUUCUCUGAUGUUAGCGGCGGACGGGUGAGUAACACGUGGAUAACCUACCUAUAAGACUGGGAUAACUUCGGGAAACCGGAGCUAAUACCGGAUAAUAUUUUGAACCGCAUGGUUCAAAAGUGAAAGACGGUCUUGCUGUCACUUAUAGAUGGAUUCGCGCUGCAUUAGCUAGUUGGUAAGGUAACGGCUUACCAAGGCAACGAUGCAUAGCCGACCUGAGAGGGUGAUCGGCCACACUGGAACUGAGACACGGUCCAGACUCCUACGGGAGGCAGCAGUAGGGAAUCUUCCGCAAUGGGCGAAAGCUUGACGGAGCAACGCCGCGUGAGUGAUGAAGGUCUUCGGAUCGUAAAACUCUGUUAUUAGGGAAGAACAUAUGUGUAAGUAACUGUGCACAUCUUGACGGUACCUAAUCAGAAAGCCACGGCUAACUACGUG